RNAcentral lists this ribosomal RNA (497 nucleotides) under uncultured bacterium. Its description in RNAcentral is "partial 16S ribosomal RNA". It matches the Rfam family "Bacterial small subunit ribosomal RNA", at positions 28 to 507 of the family's 1533-position model. The record is from RNAcentral.
GAUGAACGCUGGCGGCGUGCCUAAUACAUGCAAGUCGAGCGAACAGACGAGGAGCUUGCUCCUCUGACGUUAGCGGCGGACGGGUGAGUAACACGUGGAUAACCUACCUAUAAGACUGGGAUAACUUCGGGAAACCGGAGCUAAUACCGGAUAAUAUAUUGAACCGCAUGGUUCAAUAGUGAAAGACGGUUUUGCUGUCACUUAUAGAUGGAUCCGCGCCGCAUUAGCUAGUUGGUACGGUAACGGCUUACCAAGGCAACGAUGCGUAGCCGACCUGAGAGGGUGAUCGGCCACACUGGAACUGAGACACGGUCCAGACUCCUACGGGAGGCAGCAGUAGGGAAUCUUCCGCAAAGGGCGAAAGCCUGACGGAGCAACGCCGCGUGAGUGAUGAAGGUCUUCGGAUCGUAAAACUCUGUUAUUAGGGAAGAACAAAUGUGUAAGUAACUAUGCACGUCUUGACGGUACCUAAACAGAAAGCCACGGCUAACUACGUG